GCUAGAGGGGCUGUAUGCCAGAUUGUUCGGUAUGAGAGAGCUCAAGGGCCACAUAUAGUGGUUAAAGAAGGGGAGGAACCAGGAUAUUUUUGGGAUGCUUUUUCAAACUAUUUGCCUCUGAUGGAUAAAUCUAGUAAUGGAGUGGAUNCUGGGAAAUCAACAAUUGAGAUUUGCCCUGGUGAGAGAAAAGUGGAUGCAUAUAAUGUUGAUUUUGAGAUUUUCCAAAAAGCAAUUAAGGGAGGUUUUGUGCCUCCAUUUGCAUCGUCAGAGAAUGAACAUGAAACCCACCUUCCUGCCAGAGAAAGCAGUUGGAGUGUGCUAAGGCGAAAGUUUGCCCCUGUUGAUAUGAAGGAGUUUGUCUCAGCACCAAAGAUAUUCCUCUCCAGGGUCUAUUCAGAUUCUAUGAUGAUCGUGCACUCCUCAUCACCAUCUUCAUCAUCUUCGUCCUCAUCUUCAUCAUCUUCUCCUCCUUAUCUCUCUCCAGAUUCCAUGUCUUCUGAUUCUAGUACCAGCUCAAAGUACUUCUCAGAAUCCUCUCUAGAUUCUCCUUCAGGAGCUUCGUGUUCUGUUCUUGUAUCUUCAACAUUGUCUAACUUCUCUAACUUGUCUCUUUUCUCAUCCAAGGCUUCUUGUCAUUCACCAUCUAACACUCCUGGACUUCAUGCUCUCAAUAGCAUGUCAAAUCAAUGUUCUCAAGUAACUUCCUCACCAUCUAAAAAAUCUUCACUCUCACUUGCAGAACGUAGAGGUGGCUUGUCUAAAUCUUUGAAGCUGCCAGUGAUGACUGAUAAUACGAGGAUGACUGAUAAUACGAGGAUGACUAACACACCACCAAGUUCACUUGCAUCCCAGGAAGAUGGUGCUAGGAUAAACAUGAAUACUUUUUCUUGGUGUAAUUCAAAUGGUACAGAAAUUGUUUUAGAGUCUGAGAAUCAUGCUAAAGAAGACCAAGAUUCAAUGAAAAAAUGCAAGUUGAAUAUAUCUCGAGAUAAAGUAGUUAGUGCUAACUCUUAUGACAGAGAAGCUGCCUGUGUAAAUAAUUGUGAUGGACCUGGUAGAAAUUGUCCUUUGGGAGACAGCUUGGGGUCUUCCACCUCAAAUGGGAAAGAGGAAAAUGAUUCAUCUUAUUGUAACCUAAUGCAACCAUUGGUAUUCCACUGGCCCAGUUUGGAAAAAGUUGCAACUUUUGGUACCAGUGACUUGGAUUCUAAAGCUGCUUUUGCAAUUUUAGCACCAACUACAGGUUUAGGCAGAGAUGGGAGUAGGAUUCUAUAUCUUUGGAUAGGAAGGUCAUUUCCUUUUGAUGAGAGCCUGAUUCAGAUAGAUUGCAGCAAAGGAUUGAUGGUUGGAAAAUAUAUUGACUGGAAUCAAGUUGGUUGCUAUGUUCUCACUCGAAUGGAUCUUCCAAAAGAUAUCCUUGUUAAGUUUAUCCAAGAAGGUGAAGAACCAGCUGAAUUUCUUGCAUUGUUGAGUGCAGUGUAGCACUGCUGGGAUCAAGGAUGACUCUGCAAUUCAAUAGCUUAAAUCUUCUUUCAGUGACUUCAGCUGGCCUAGUUUACUUCACAAGUUUUCAAGCAUUAAAAUGAACUUUCGUGGCAAAACCAGUGAGGUGGCUGCUUUCUAAGGUUCUCUGUGGCUACUCAUCUGGUUGUACAGUACUGUAACACCCUCAUUACUGAAUCAUUUUGUUCCACAAAUUUAAUGGUCCUGUAUAUUCAUUUUGUCAGAAACAAAUUCCUUGAGG
RNAcentral lists this unclassified non-coding RNA (1744 nucleotides) under Hevea brasiliensis (rubber tree). The record is from RNAcentral. Lineage: Eukaryota; Viridiplantae; Streptophyta; Magnoliopsida; Malpighiales; Euphorbiaceae.